Molecule: ribosomal RNA, 253 nt
Filed under: uncultured bacterium
Lineage: Bacteria
Description: partial 16S ribosomal RNA
Rfam family: Bacterial small subunit ribosomal RNA
Source: RNAcentral
GACGGAGGAUGCAAGUGUUAUCCGGAAUCACUGGGCGUAAAGCGUGCGCAGGCGGUUGUGCAAGACAGAUGUGAAAUCCCCGGGCUUAACCUGGGAACUGCAUUUGUGACUGCAUGGCUAGAGUGUGUCAGAGGGGGGUAGAAUUCCACGUGUAGCAGUGAAAUGCGUAGAUAUGUGGAGGAAUACCGAUGGCGAAGGCAGCCCCCUGGGAUAGCACUGACGCUCAUGCACGAAAGCGUGGGGAGCAAACAGG